Molecule: long non-coding RNA, 1673 nt
Filed under: Carassius auratus (goldfish)
Lineage: Eukaryota; Metazoa; Chordata; Actinopteri; Cypriniformes; Cyprinidae
Description: lncRNA (ENSCARG00000029547.1)
Source: RNAcentral
AUGGAUCUAACAGAGGAAAGGCAGACAAAGAAAAUGGUCCUUGAAAAACGUACCUCAUCCAUUGAGCGGUUGCUGGGCCUAACAACAGAACACCUUCCAGAUUUUGCCAUUCACAUGUUUAAUGUCAAGAACCAAUAUUUGUCAUUAAAAGCAAUGAAAGAUACCCUGACAGAUGAUGCUGUUGCUGUGCAUGUAGAUUACAGCGAAAAUUACAGCUGCAAAUAUGCCAAAGAAAUCAAGGAUACCCAUUUUGGAACUGGGAAUGAUCAGGUAACCCUCCACACCAGGGUACUCUAUCUCAGUAGGGGCAGAGUGGAAGCCUUUGCAUCCCUCUCAUCAUCUCUACAGCACGAUGCAGUGGCAACCAGGGCUCAUCUUGACCCAGUGCUGAGAUACAUACGAGGAAAGUAUCCUGAAGUCCACAACCUACAUUUCAUUUCAGAUGGCCCAACUUCCCAGUAUAGAAACAAAACAUCUUUCUAUCUAGCCUCCACUGUGCCCUUUAUGCAUGGAUUUGAAUGGGUGACCUGGAACUAUACUGAGGCAUCACAUGGCAAAGGUACACCAGAUGGAGUUGGUGGGGCCUUGAAGAAUCUUGCGGACAGAAUCGUUUCUUAUGGGACCAGUAUUCCUGAUGCAGACUCUCUGUAUGAGCAGCUGAAGAACAAUUCAUCAGUGACUCUGUACAAAGUAUCAGAGGAGAAAAUAAAGGCCAGCCGCGAAUUGGUUCCCCCCAACCUGAAAGCAGUUCCUGGGACACUGAAAAUACACCAACUGACAUCCACAAAACCAGGAGUCAAAAAUACACGGGAGGGGUCAUGCUUCUGUGGAAAAAAUUGCCAGUGCUUUUCUACAAAUUGCCACAUGUUCUCUGAGGGAAAAGAUGAGGACCCUGACAGAACAGAGGUCAUCAUAGAGGUUGGAGAGUGGGUCCUGGUUGAAUACGAUGGUGACUUGUUCCCUGGUACAGUCACACAGGUGAAUUUAAUUUCAAGAUUUCUGUUAAUGUGUGAAUAUUUCUCAGUUACAUUAUAUUAUAGUACAUGCGGUCCAGCCAAAAUGUGUAGAGGCUAUACAAAUGUUUUUAAACCGAUUGCUGAAGGGCAGUAUGAAGUCGACACCAUGAAUUGUGCAGGGGAGAACCGCUUCUACGUACCAAGCAUCAGAUUUCCAGGAGAAAGGGUCUGGUACUAUCGUCAGGACAUACGGGACAUAAUCCCAGAACCACUUCCUGUCACCUCCUCUGCUAGACAUUUCUGCAUUUUACCUGACAUAUGGGCCAAACACAAGAAAUGCUCAUGAAUGAGUUACAGUUGAGGGAAAACAUGAUUGGUACAGAGCAGUCGUUCCAGUUGUUUGUCUUAGUUGUUUGACCAACUCAUAAAUUGAGUUCUGCUAUUCAAGUUCUUCACAUGAAAUUAUUCUCAGAAAAAGGUUGUGUGGUUCAAUGUCAGGACCAAAGUGUUUUAGCUAAACUAAAUUCUUUUUACAAGAGCACAUGAUGCUGUUACAUUUAAAUGUUUCUCAGGACCACAUGAUGAUAUGUUACAUUGAAAAAGUUCUCAUCACAUGGUUGUAUGUAACUAGAAUGAUAAAAUGUAUACUAAUGGUUGUAUAAUUAUUAGUACUACAGUGUAGGGUACAUGACAUGAUUCUUAAGAAGAGCAUAAGAU